CUUAAAUGAAAAUAGUUUUAUAACCAUUUUAUAAUUUAAAUAAACGAGAAAUAUCAGUUUAUGUUGCGAAUUUUUUAAAGGUUUUGUUAUUUGUGGAUUUUACAAUGAUUCUCAAUGACUGGCUCCUUUCCUGGUUUUGUAUGAAGGAAAGCUUGAACAAAGGGAAGGUAUAAGGAAGUUAUCAUGUGACAUGAUUAAUGCACAGAUAAAAUGAAAAA
Long non-coding RNA from Xenia sp. Carnegie-2017, 218 nucleotides. RefSeq lists it as uncharacterized. The record is from RefSeq and is a predicted model, not a curated record. NCBI's taxonomy places the organism in Eukaryota, Metazoa, Cnidaria, Anthozoa, Malacalcyonacea, Xeniidae. The transcript has 2 exons.